RNAcentral lists this ribosomal RNA (515 nucleotides) under uncultured bacterium. Its description in RNAcentral is "partial 16S ribosomal RNA". It matches the Rfam family "Bacterial small subunit ribosomal RNA", at positions 28 to 523 of the family's 1533-position model. The record is from RNAcentral.
GACGAACGCUGGCGGCGUGCCUAAUACAUGCAAGUCGAGCGAUGAUUAAAGAUAGCUUGCUAUUUUUAUGAAGAGCGGCGAACGGGUGAGUAACGCGUGGGAAAUCUGCAGAGUAGCGGGGGACAACGUUUGGAAACGAACGCUAAUACCGCAUAACAAUGAGAAUCGCAUGAUUCUUAUUUGAAAGAAGCAAUUGCUUCACUACUUGAUGAUCCCGCGUGGUAUUAGCUAGUUAGUAGUGUAAAGGACUACCAAGGCGAUGAUACAUAGCCGACCUGGGAGGGUGAUCGGCCAGACUUGGGCUAGGCCGCGGCGCAGAGUCCUACGGAAGGCAGCAGUACGGAAUCUUCGGCAAUGGAGGCAACCAUGACCGAGCAGCGCCGCGUGAGUGAAGAAGAUUUUCAGAUCGUAAAACGCUGUUGUUAGAGAAGAACGUUAAGUAGAAUAGAAAAUUACUUAAGUGACGGUAUCUAACCAGAAAGGGACGGCUAACUACGUGCCAGCAGCCGCCGCGG